This 437-nucleotide ribosomal RNA is filed under the name uncultured fungus. RNAcentral describes it as "partial small subunit ribosomal RNA". It matches the Rfam family "Eukaryotic small subunit ribosomal RNA", at positions 30 to 432 of the family's 1831-position model. Lineage: Eukaryota; Fungi. The record is from RNAcentral.
GCUUGUCUCAAAGAUUAAGCCAUGCAUGUCUAAGUACAAGCCUCAGUAAGGUGAAACCGCGAAUGGCUCAUUAAAUCACACCUAAUCUACUGGAAAGUUACUAGUUACUUGGAUAACUGAGGUAAUUCUUGAGCUAAUACAUGCGAAAAAUCUCGACUCACGGAGAGAUGCUUUUAUUAGACCAAGACCAAUGAUCUUCGGAUCUGCAAUUAUGGUGACUCUGGAUAACUAAUGGCGUAAAAACCAUGAAGCUGACCCUAUGUCCCGAGGUGGCAACAUCUCACAGCGGCGAGGGCAAAUCAUUCGAGUGUCUGCUCUAUCAACUGUCGAUGGUAGGUUAUAUGCCUACCAUGGUUGUAACGGGUAACGGGGAGUUAGGGCUCGACUCCGGAGAGCAGGCCUGAGAAACGGCCAGCACAUCUAAGGAAGGCAGCAGG